GUAGGUGGCAAGCGUUGUCCGGAAUUAUUGGGCGUAAAGCGCGCGCAGGCGGUUCUUUAAGUCUGAUGUGAAAGCCCACGGCUCAACCGUGGAGGGUCAUUGGAAACUGGAGAACUUGAGUACAGAAGAGGAAAGCGGAAUUCCACGUGUAGCGGUGAAAUGCGUAGAGAUGUGGAGGAACACCAGUGGCGAAGGCGGCUUUCUGGUCUGUAACUGACGCUGAGGCGCGAAAGCGUGGGGAGCAAACAGGGAUUAGAUACCCUGGUAGUCCACGCCGUAAACGAUGAGUGCUAAGUGUUAGGGGGGUUUCCGCCCCCUUAGUGCUGCAGCUAAAGCAUUAAGCACUCCGCCUGGGGAGUACGGCCGCAAGGCUG
This 374-nucleotide ribosomal RNA is filed under the name uncultured organism. RNAcentral describes it as "partial 16S ribosomal RNA". It matches the Rfam family "Bacterial small subunit ribosomal RNA", at positions 527 to 896 of the family's 1533-position model. The record is from RNAcentral.